Non-coding RNA from Podospora didyma, 105 nucleotides. The record is from the annotation of a GenBank genome assembly. Lineage: Eukaryota; Fungi; Ascomycota; Sordariomycetes; Sordariales; Podosporaceae.
GGGCGUGUGGCUCAGUUGGUAGAGCGUUCGCUUAGCAUCUCACCGCCUUCUGAAGAUUGGUGUCCGUGAUGCGAAAGGUCCUGGGUUCGAUUCCCAGCCCGUCCA